This 469-nucleotide ribosomal RNA is filed under the name uncultured Acidobacteriota bacterium. RNAcentral's name for it is "bacterial SSU rRNA". It matches the Rfam family "Bacterial small subunit ribosomal RNA", at positions 12 to 469 of the family's 1533-position model. The record is from RNAcentral. Lineage: Bacteria; Pseudomonadati; Acidobacteriota.
UUUGAUCCUGGCUCAGAAUCAACGCUGGCGGCGUGCCUAACACAUGCAAGUCGAACGCGAAAGUGGAGCAAUCCAUGAGUAGAGUGGCAAACGGGUGAGUAACACGUGGGUGACCUGCCUUCGAGCGGGGGAUAACGUCCCGAAAGGGACGCUAAUACCGCAUAACAUCCUGCCUUUGAAGAGGCGGCGAUCAAAGCUGGCGCAAGCUAGCACUCGGAGAGGGGCCCGCGUCCGAUUAGCUAGUUGGUGAGGUAACGGCUCACCAAGGCAACGAUCGGUAGCCGGCCUGAGAGGGCGGACGGCCACACUGGGACUGAGACACGGCCCAGACUCCUACGGGAGGCAGCAGUGGGGAAUUGUUCGCAAUGGGCGCAAGCCUGACGACGCAACGCCGCGUGGAGGAUGAAGAUCUUCGGGUCGUAAACUCCUUUCGAUCGAAACGAACGGCCUCCGGGUGAACAAUCCGGAG